RNAcentral lists this ribosomal RNA (221 nucleotides) under Astragalus stocksii. RNAcentral's name for it is "5.8 ribosomal RNA". The stretch from base 63 to 218 matches the Rfam family "5.8S ribosomal RNA". From Rfam's summary of the family: 5.8S ribosomal RNA (5.8S rRNA) is a component of the large subunit of the eukaryotic ribosome. It is transcribed by RNA polymerase I as part of the 45S precursor that also contains 18S and 28S rRNA. Functionally, it is thought that 5.8S rRNA may be involved in ribosome translocation. Lineage: Eukaryota; Viridiplantae; Streptophyta; Magnoliopsida; Fabales; Fabaceae. The record is from RNAcentral.
AUGUGCCCUGUCGGCCCGGAGACGGUGCUUCGGCGGUGGUGCCUUGUCACAUGAUACAUAAUGACUCUCGGCAACGGAUAUCUAGGCUCUUGCAUCGAUGAAGAACGUAGCGAAAUGCGAUACUUGGUGUGAAUUGCAGAAUCCCGUGAACCAUCGAGUCUUUGAACGCAAGUUGCGCCCGAAGCCAUCAGGUUGAGGGCACGUCUGCCUGGGCGUCACAU